GUUUGGAUUAUUGCUCAUGACGAACGCUGGCGGUAUGCUUAACACAUGCAAGUCGAACGAGAAGCUGUCUAAUGAACCUUCGGGCGAUUUAGAGAGUGGAUAGUGGCGAACGGGUGAGUAACGCGUGGGCAACCUGCCUUUCGGAGCGGAAUAGCCUCGGGAAACCGGGAGUAAAGCCGCAUAACAUUAUUUUUUCGCAUGAAGAGAUAAUCAAAACUCCGGUGCCGAAAGAUGGGCCCGCGUCCUAUUAGCUGGUUGGUGAGGCAACGGCUCACCAAGGCGACGAUAGGUAGCCGGUCUGAGAGGGCGAACGGCCACACUGGAACUGAGACACGGUCCAGACUCCUACGGGAGGCAGCAGUGGGGAAUAUUGCGCAAUGGGGGCAACCCUGACGCAGCAAUACCGCGUGAGUGAAGAAGGUUUUCGGAUCGUAAAGCUCUGUUAUUGGGGAAGAAGAAGUGACGGUACCCAAUGAGGAAGUCCCGGCUAAUUACGUGCCAGCAGCCGCGGUAAUACGUAAGGGACGAGCGUUGUCCGGAAUCACUGGGCGUAAAGGGCGCGUAGGCGGUUUUAUAAGUCAGAUGUGAAAGGUACCGGCUCAACCGGUGACGUGCAUUUGAAACUGUAAGACUUGAGUACUGAAGAGGCAAGCGGAAUUCCUAGUGUAGCGGUGAAAUGCGUAGAUAUUAGGAAGAACACCGGUGGCGAAGGCGGCUUGCUGGGCAGAUACUGACGCUGAGGUGCGAAAGCAUGGGGAGCGAACAGGAUUAGAUACCCUGGUAGUCCAUGCCGUAAACGAUGAAUACUAGGUGUUGGCAGUUAUGUCAGUGCCACAGUUAACACAAUAAGUAUUCCGCCUGGGGAGUACGACCGCAAGGUUGAAACUCAAAGGAAUUGACGGGGACCCGCACAAGCAGCGGAGCAUGUGGUUUAAUUCGAAGCAACGCGAAGAACCUUACCAGGCCUUGACAUCCUCUGACCUCUUAGAGAUAAGACUUUCCCUUCGGGGACAGAGAGACAGGUGGUGCAUGGUUGUCGUCAGCUCGUGUCGUGAGAUGUUGGGUUAAGUCCCGCAACGAGCGCAACCCCUGUGAUUAGUUGCCAUCAUUCAGUUGGGCACUCUAAACAGACUGCCGUAGACAAUACGGAGGAAGGUGGGGACGACGUCAAAUCAUCAUGCCCCUUAUGGCCUGGGCUACACACGUGCUACAAUGGUCUGAACAGAGGGCAGCGAAACCGUGAGGCGGAGCGAAUCCCACAAAACAGAUCUCAGUUCGGAUUGUAGCUGCAACCCGCCUACAUGAAGAUGGAGUUGCUAGUAUCGCGGAUCAAAUGCCGCGGUGAAUGCGUUCCCGGGUCUUGUACACACCGCCCGUCACACCACGAGAGUCGUACACCCGAAGCCAGUGUGACAACCGUAAGGAGUCAGCUGUCGAAGUGGGAUCGGUAUGGGGUGAAGUCGUAACGGUUACCGUUAAAU
This 1481-nucleotide ribosomal RNA is filed under the name Pseudoramibacter sp. RNAcentral describes it as "bacterial SSU rRNA". It matches the Rfam family "Bacterial small subunit ribosomal RNA". Lineage: Bacteria; Bacillati; Bacillota; Clostridia; Eubacteriales; Eubacteriaceae. The record is from RNAcentral.